Molecule: long non-coding RNA, 636 nt
Organism: Gasterosteus aculeatus aculeatus (three-spined stickleback)
Lineage: Eukaryota; Metazoa; Chordata; Actinopteri; Perciformes; Gasterosteidae
Source: Ensembl
UGAAUAUUUCUUGAAUAUUUCCAUGAAUAUUUUAAUGAAUAUUUUUAUGAAUAUUUUUUGAUUAUUUUUUUGAAUAUCUUUUCUUUCACCAACCAUUAGCCCACUAGUUCCCUAUGAAGAUCACUCCUUUUGUUUUCCUCGCAAUAUUGUAGAAAGCAAGAUACGUGGCAAACACAGGUUUCCUUCUCCCCUUAUCACAUAUAAUCUUUGUAAUGAAUCCUCCCUUUCAAUAUUUCUUGAAUAUUUCCAUGAAUAUCUUCAUGAAUAUUUUCGUGAAUAUUUUCGUGAAUAUUUUAAUGAAUAUUUUGAUGAAUAUUUUUUGAUUAUUGGGGUGAUUAUUUUUUUGAUGAUUUUUUUGAUGAUUUUUUUGAAUAUCUUUUCUUUGACCAACCAUUAGCCCACAGGUUCCCUAUGAAGAUCACUCCUUUUGUUUUCCUCGCAAUAUUGUAGAAAGCAAGAUACGUGGCAAACACAGGUUUCCUUCCCCCCUUAUAACAUAUAAUCGUUGUAAUGAAUCCUCCCUUUGAAUAUUUCUUGAAUAUUUCCAUGAAUAUCUUCAUGAAUAUUUUCGUGAAUAUUUUCGUGAAUAUUUUCGUGAAUAUUUUGAUGAAUAUUUUUUGAUUAUUUUUUGAUUAU